Long non-coding RNA from Oncorhynchus keta (chum salmon), 497 nucleotides. RefSeq lists it as uncharacterized. The transcript is spliced from 3 exons. Lineage: Eukaryota; Metazoa; Chordata; Actinopteri; Salmoniformes; Salmonidae. The record is from RefSeq and is a predicted model, not a curated record.
GUUAGAGGACUGACCAGGUCCAGUAGGGGCCAGCUAGAGGACUGCCCAGGUCCAGUAGGGGCCAGCUAGAGGACUACCCAGGUCCAGUAGGGGCCAGCUAGAGGACUGCCCAGGUCCAGUAGGGGCCAGCUAGAGGACUGACCAGGUCCAGUAGGGGCCAGCUAGAGGACUGACCAGGUCCAGUAGGGGCCAGCUAGAGGACUGACCAGGUCCAGUAGGGGCCAGCUAGAGGACUGACCAGGUCCAGUAGGGGCCAGCUAGAGGACUGACCAGGUCCAGUAGGGGCCAGCUAGAGGACUGACCAGGUCCAGUAGGGGCCAGCUAGAGGACUGACCAGGUCCAGUAGGGGCCAGCUAGACCGUACAGUGAAGUCACGGAUGCCAAACUUGGAUGCUUUAAUCCACCCUUUUAGAUGUCUAGUGACUCUAUAGAUAUUUCUAUCCAGGAUUCACAAGCCAAUUGACGUUACUUUACACUAGAUAGAUCUACACAAGUUG